Molecule: ribosomal RNA, 497 nt
Filed under: uncultured bacterium
Lineage: Bacteria
Description: bacterial SSU rRNA
Rfam family: Bacterial small subunit ribosomal RNA
Source: RNAcentral
AUUGAACGCUGGCGGCGUGCCUAACACAUGCAAGUCGAGCGGCAGCGCGGGAGCAAUCCUGGCGGCGAGCGGCGGACGGGUGAGUAACGCUUGGGAAUCUGCCUGUUAGUGGGGGACAACCCGGGGAAACUCGGGCUAAUACCGCAUACGCACUACGGUGGAAAGCCGGGGACCGCAAGGCCUGGCGCUAACAGAUGAGCCCAAGUCGGAUUAGCUAGUUGGUAGGGUAACGGCCUACCAAGGCGACGAUCCGUAACUGGUCUGAGAGGACGACCAGUCACACCGGAACUGAGACACGGUCCGGACUCCUACGGGAGGCAGCAGUGGGGAAUAUUGGACAAUGGGGGAAACCCUGAUCCAGCGACGCCGCGUGGGUGAAGAAGGCCUGCGGGUUGUAAAGCCCUUUCAGUGGGGAAGAAAGCCUCGACCUAAUACGUUGGGGUCUUGACGUAACCCAUAGAAGAAGCACCGGCUAACUCUGUGCCAGCCGCCGCUGU